This 1590-nucleotide long non-coding RNA is filed under the name Homo sapiens (human). Its description in RNAcentral is "HSALNT0135675". Lineage: Eukaryota; Metazoa; Chordata; Mammalia; Primates; Hominidae. The record is from RNAcentral.
CCACGCUGGAGUGCAGAGGUGUGAUCAUAGCUCACUGCAGUCUCCAAUGCCUGGGCUCAAGUGACCCUCCUGCCUCAGCCUCCCAAGUAGCCGGGAUUAUAAGCAUGCACCGCCAUGCCUAGUUAAUGUUUUAAUUUUUGGUAUUGACGGGGUCUUAUUAUGUUGCCCAGGCUGGUCUUGAACUCCUGACCUCAAGCAAUCCUCCCGCCUCUGCUUCCCAAAGCAUUGGGAUUACAGGCAUGAGCUACUGAGCUUGGCCUGCUAUGUUCUCAAAACAAUCCAUGGAGCCCGCUCUGUGCCCUGGCUCUGGGUGCUCCCACUGGUUCGGCUGCAGUAGGAGACCGCCUUAGCGGGUAACCCAACCCUGGAUUUUCUGGUACUAUCAGAGCCGGCUCAGGGAACCCACCGUCAGCCCCCAGGCUCUCUCCGGCCUGUGGUUGGUGUCCCCAGGCCGGUGUCCCCAGGCCAGUGUCCUCUUGGUGACACCACAGUCAGGCAGGGCAACAUGGCAGCUCCCAGGGGUAGGGGAGCGAGGUCAGAAACAGAAGCUGUAAUUAAAUCUUUUUUUACCCACCCUCAUCCCCAGCAGGAAGUUAUUCUUGGUGCUCAGCGAGGGGGAAGGAGGGGCGGGAUGUGAGCAAAACGGCUGCUUUUGACCUCAUGGCCUUCCUGGCGAUUGGGUGGAGAGGUUUUUAAAGAUCGAGGAAGAGAUUUCCUUGAGCAUCUUCUGAAAAUAGAGACUGGGGCCUCUAGUUUGGCUCUUUCUGGACUCGACUUCUACUUUUUGGACAGAGAGAAGGCCAAAGCCCCAGCCUGGGCACUCGAUGCCUAAUCCCGUCGGCUGCAGCUUCCCUGGUGCCUUCCCUUGGACAUGGGUUGGGCUUGGACGGGGACAGUGUACUGGGGAGACGAGUGGGGCAAUUCCCCCUAGGUGGGUGGAGGCAGAGGUGGCUGUGGCCAGCGAGCAGCUUGCGUUUUCCAAAUUGGUGGCUUUUGUUUGGGCAGAGCAGGCCUUGAAAACCCGCUCCAGCAUCAGCACCUCCUCCUCCUCUUCCCCUGGGGUCAGACAAGGGCCCAGGACCCAGGCCUGCAGACGCUGAGUGGGAAGGCAGAGGCAGAGCAUUAGCAGCAUCACCAGCACUUCCUUCCGGGCUUUUCUUCCAGGGGCCCUUGGGAGGAGCCCCGUUCCUCCUCCCGCAUCCCCCUGUGCAUUCUCCGCUCUAUCAAUUCCUCAGCCCUCUCCUCUUCCCCCCAAAACUAGAGCCAGGGCCAAGGAAGUGUAGCCAAGAGGAUGACUUGGUUUGGUCUCCUGUGGAAAAGAUUCCAGCAUCUCCCAUUCAACAAAAGCCAAAGUCUACAAGAAAUAGGACGUGAGGUUCCAGUUCUUGGAACAGGGACUGCAAACCCUUCACCUUCAAGAAGAAAAAUUACCAGACAUGAAGGGAGCUACCUCCAAGGCGAAGACUUAGGAUCCCAUUCUGCUCCAGCUACUCUUUGGGGCUGCAUUCUCUUUCACUUGUAUUUUUUAAAAAAUAAAAAUCCAGUCUCCAUUUCAUCAGGAUCAUCUGUCCCCUUCAGUUUCUUCGUUUU